CGUGGCCGAGCAGUUUAAGGUGCUGGAUUAAGGCGCCAGUCACUUCAAAGGUGUGGGUUCGAAUCCCACCGCUG
This 74-nucleotide transfer RNA is filed under the name Merluccius polli (Benguela hake). RNAcentral describes it as "tRNA-Leu". It matches the Rfam family "tRNA", at positions 6 to 65 of the family's 71-position model. From Rfam's summary of the family: Transfer RNA (tRNA) molecules are approximately 80 nucleotides in length. Lineage: Eukaryota; Metazoa; Chordata; Actinopteri; Gadiformes; Merlucciidae. The record is from RNAcentral.